GGGGGGAGGCCGGAUCCUGGGCUGUGUCCCGGCGCCCUGUGCUCCGGGGCCUGCGCUGUUGGAUUCGCGCUCCCGGGCCGCAGCCCCCU
This 89-nucleotide microRNA precursor is filed under the name Canis lupus familiaris (dog). RNAcentral describes it as "mir-8799 microRNA precursor family". It matches the Rfam family "mir-8799 microRNA precursor family". The record is from Rfam by way of RNAcentral. RNAcentral also lists the same sequence under 1 other name. Lineage: Eukaryota; Metazoa; Chordata; Mammalia; Carnivora; Canidae.